AUGGGAGUCUCGUUGAAUGCAUUGUUAUUGCAAGGACCAGACCUUGCUAAUAAUUUGAUAGGAGUACUUUUACGAUUCCGUACUGAAAAAGUUGCGUUACAAGGUGACAUAGAAAGUAUGUUCUACCAAGUAAAAGUUCCACUCAAAGAUAGAAACUUAUUGCGAUUUUUAUGGUGGCCAAAUGGAGACAUGAACAGCGAACCAGAAGUAUACAGGAUGACCGUUCAUAUUUUUGGAGCUACAUCUUCUCCAAGUGUUUGUAAUUUUGCGUUGAGACAAACUGCACAGAACUAUGGAAACCAAUUCGAGCCACAAGUUGCAGAAACAAUUUUGAACAAUAUAUAUGUAGACGAUUGUUUAGUAUCGACCGAAUCAGACGAAAAGGCAAUAUCGUUAGUAGAUGGUGUUAGAUCUCUUUGCACAAAAGGAGGCUUUAAUAUGACAAAGUGGACAAGCACGAGUUCAACUGUAGUAAAAUCAAUACCAGACAAGAGUCGCACAAAAAACACUAAUCAGCUUGAUUUUGAGAACGAAUCGUCCAUUGAACGAGCGCUAGGAGUAUCUUGGUACAUCGAUAGAGACGUAUUUGGAUUUCAAAUAAAUACCAAUGAUCAUCCUCAUACUAAGCGAGGAAUAUUAUCAGUUGUAAGUUCUGUGUACGAUCCGUUAGGAAUCGCAUCUCCUUUUGUACUCAUAGGAAGGUCAAUUCUUCAAAAUUUAUGCAAACAACAAGUUGAUUGGGAUGAAGAAAUUAAUGAGACAGAUGAGAAAAAAUGGAUCAGUUGGUUGAAUCAGUUGAACGAGUUGCAUAAUGUUAAGAUUGACAGAUGUUACAAGCCGCCAAAUUUUGAAAAUGUAAUGUCAACACAGAUUCAUUGUUUCUCGGAUGCCAGUGAUAUCGGUUAUGGCAUGGUUUUCUAUCUUCGUUUAAUUGAUAAAACUGGGAGGAUUCAUUGCUCAUUUGUUCUUGGGAAAUCACGAGUUGCGCCUCUGAAAACAAUUACCGUGCCUAGAAUGGAAUUAACUGCUGCAGCAAGAGCAGUUCGAUUGAGCAAAGUUAUUUUGCAAGAGUUGAAUUACAACAUCGAUAAAGUGUUCUUUUGGACAGAUAGUAUGACAGUGCUGCGAUAUAUUUUCAACAGAAAUUCAAGAUAUCAUACGUUUGUUGCAAAUCGUCUUGCUUUAAUACAUGAAGCUACCGACAAUGCACAGUGGAAUUAUGUAAAUACGAAGCAAAAUCCAGCUGACUUUGCUUCGCGUGGAAUGACUAUUUCGAAAUUUGAACAAAAUCCUCAAUGGAUCAGGGGACCAGAUUAUUUGUGGUUACCAGAAUGUGAAUGGCCACAAGUAUGUGUGGACUUGAAAUUUCCAGAUAAUGACUCAGAAGUCAAACGAAAAUCAGUGGUUAAUGCAUCAAUUGUGGACGAUGAUUAUGAUGAAUUUAACAGUUUUGAAACCUUGAUUUCUCGAUGUUCUGACUUUGACAAGUUGAAAAGAAUUGUAGCUUGGUUGUUGAAGGCCGUAAACAACUUUAAGCAAACCUACCGAAGAAAAAACGACUUAGCAAAUGAGAAUGAAGAUAAGUUACCUACACAAGCAAAAUCCAAGCGACUAAAUGAAUCGAAGGAACUAGUCAAAACUCUGAAUCUAAAAGUACAGGAUGUACACAACGCAGAAAUGACUAUUAUUCGUUUUGUUCAAAACCAACAUUUUGAUGAUGAAGUACAGCGAUUAAAAGAUAAGUUGAAUGUUAAGCGAACAUCAAGACUGUUUAAACUUGACUCAUAUAUUGAUGAAAAAGGAAUAUUACGAGUUGGUGGGAGAUUAGCAAGAUCAAAUCUAACCGAAACAUCGAAGCAUCCAAUCAUACUGCCAAAACAAUCUACAUUAUCAUAUUCAAUUAUACAAGGAAUUCAUAGAUCGAUCGGACAUUUAGGGAAAAAUGCUAUUUUGACCGAACUCAGACAAAAGUAUUGGAUCAUAGGUGCUAACGGUAUAAUCAAGAAUAUUGUCUCUAAAUGUGUCAUAUGUAGAAAAUAUCAAGCACCCAUCAUGCAACAGAAAAUGGCGAAUUUGCCCAGCGAAAGGGUGACUCAAGAUACUGCACCGUUUACAAUCGUUGGUAUGGAUUACUUUGGACCUUUUGCAAUUAAACAGAGAAGGUGUACUGUUAAACGUUACGGUGUGAUAUUUACAUGUCUCAAAAUAAGAGCAGUACAUUUGGAAGUAGCCGAUUCCCUAGACACCAGUUCUUGCAUUAAUGCAAUCCGGCGAUUCAUUGCACGCAGAGGAGUACCCAAAAUUAUUCGAUCGGACAAUGGAACUAAUCUCGUAGGUGCGCAAAGAGAACUUAAAGAUGAAAUUGUUAAAUGGAAUCUGAAUCAGAUUGACAAUUUUAUGCUUCAAAAGGGCAUCGACUGGAAAUUUUAA
This 2430-nucleotide small RNA is filed under the name Mytilus galloprovincialis (Mediterranean mussel). The record is from RNAcentral. Lineage: Eukaryota; Metazoa; Mollusca; Bivalvia; Mytilida; Mytilidae.